UGUCGGCUGAAUCAGAGAUUGGCUGACACAAAUUAAAACCUUUUACAUUUAGGAAAUGACUAUGUCUCUGAAUGCAGAAACUAAAGCAGCAAUCGUUGCUGAAUACGCACAAGGCGC
RNAcentral lists this non-coding RNA (117 nucleotides) under uncultured Enterovibrio sp. RNAcentral describes it as "Ribosomal S15 leader". It matches the Rfam family "Ribosomal S15 leader". Rfam says of the family: The E. coli Ribosomal S15 gene 5' UTR can form two alternative structures. One that is a series of three hairpins, The other includes a pseudoknot. This structure causes translational regulation of the S15 protein. Lineage: Bacteria; Pseudomonadati; Pseudomonadota; Gammaproteobacteria; Vibrionales; Vibrionaceae. The record is from RNAcentral.